RNAcentral lists this ribosomal RNA (494 nucleotides) under uncultured bacterium. RNAcentral describes it as "partial 16S ribosomal RNA". It matches the Rfam family "Bacterial small subunit ribosomal RNA", at positions 28 to 523 of the family's 1533-position model. The record is from RNAcentral.
GGUGAACGCUGGCGGCGUGCCUAACACAUGCAAGUCGAACGGAGUUAUUAUUAUGAAGUUUUCGGAUGGAUUAAUAAUAACUUAGUGGCGGACGGAUGAGUAACGCGUGGGUAACCUGCCUCAUACAGGGGGAUAGCAGUUGGAAACGGCUGCUAAAACCGCAUAACAUUGCGAUGUCGCAUGACAAUGCAAUUAAAUAUUUAUAGGUAUGAGAUGGGCCCGCGUCUGAUUAGCUAGUUGGUGGGGUAAUGGCCUACCAAGGCGACGAUCAGUAGCCUGCUUGAGAGAGUGACCGGCCACAUUGGGACUGAGACACGGCCCAAACUCCUACGGGAGGCAGCAGUGGGGAAUAUUGCACAAUGGGGGAAACCCUGAUGCAGCGACGCCGCGUGAUUGAAGAAGUAUUUCGGUAUGUAAAGCUCUAUCAGCAGGGAAGAAAAUGACGGUACCUGACUAAGAAGCCCCGGCUAACUACGUGCCAGCAGCCGCAGUAA